Molecule: long non-coding RNA, 1380 nt
Organism: Struthio camelus australis
Lineage: Eukaryota; Metazoa; Chordata; Aves; Struthioniformes; Struthionidae
Source: Ensembl
UUUGUAUACUACUAUUCUUGGCAGCAAAGCCAGUGUUAAGAGGUUAAUACUUCAGUUGCUAUCCCACUGUGCCGGUUACUGUGCUGCAGACAAAGCUGUUUGUAAGGCUGUUAUCAGGAAUAUGAGCAACAGUAAAAGAAAAAUUUUGGUUAGGUAUUUUAUUUUGCAGCGUUUUCAAGAGGAAAGAUCAGUUCACUCAUCUGGCUAAUCAUUUCCCCAAGAAAAUGCAAAUUUGUCCCCAAGAAAAUGCAAAUUUGAACAACAGUUUGGUCAUGCCUGGGUGUCUCAGUCUGGGAAGGCUGCUCUAGUCUCUUGUAUGGGACAGAGACCACCAUCAUCUCCAGAUACGCUGUGGAGUAAAUUCCUAUACUGCCAAGAAACAAAGAUACUGAACCUGCUCUGUCUGGAACUCCUGCACUGAGAUGAGUGAAUGUGGACAGUAAAUUCUGAGAAUGGGUCUUCUGCUGCUAGUGAAUUUUCCUGUCCAUGGACAGCUAUAAGUUUGAAUGAAAACUGAGAUCAUGCACCAGACAAUGCCUGUGAAGAGCUUUCCACAAAAUACAUGAAAAUCAACUGGCCAUUGUGAGACAAGCUGAUCAAGCUGUGCUUAUUUUGAUGAACAGAUGUAGUCUUAAGCAAAUUCAUUAAGUGAAUGAGAAGUACAACCUCUUGUUGACUCUGUAUUAAGCUGAAGCUCCACAGAAUGUUGACGUUUCAGUUUAAUGGAUGUGACAUUUGGAUGACAAAUACAAAGCAUGUCCUGUAGAUAGAGAUGUUACAUAAUGGCAGCAAAAUCAAACAUCAGUUUCUUGGUGUGAGAGGGAACAACAGUCACAGGCCUAAAAACUUUUUGUUGCUACUCCUCGCUUAGCUGGCAGAGGUGGGAGAAAAUGCAGAAGUGGUGGGAUAGAGGCCAUCUCACUGAUUUUUCUCCAAUCUUUGUAUUCCACUGCAUAUGAUUCCUUGGUUGUCGAUUAAGGCAGUUUCUAAUUGCCUUAUGUUUCCUGUAUAGAGUAGAAGGAGGUUCCUGAUGAUCUAAAUAUUGGCAUGAGAAGCCAACAUUUAACAUUAAAACGAGGAAGGAGGAGGUGGAAGUUUUCCUUUGUAUGAAGUUUCAGCUCUAAUUUGUAUUGUACUCAUCUUAUAUUUGGAAAGGGAAAAUGCAGGUGUGCCAGCCUUGUGCCAAAAGGCACAACUGAAAGCUCAAAGAAGUACGUUUCUACAUUUGAUAGCACAAGGAAAAAAAAAUCCAAACUUCAGCACUGUGCUGUAGACAACAAGGGGAACAAGACAGCUUAUCAGUAGCUGUCAAGAGUACUGAUAAGAGAGAUUUUCAUUUCUUCCCUUGAAUUCGUGAUGAGGCUGUGGGUGCCAUUCCUA